GCUGGGCAUGGUGGCUCAGGCCUGUAAUCCCAGCACUUUGGGAAGCUGAGAUGGGAGAAUCACUUGAGCCCAGGAGUUCAAGACCAGCCUGGGCAAUAUAGUGAGACCUCAUCUCUA
This is a non-coding RNA of Pan troglodytes (chimpanzee), 117 nucleotides long. It matches the Rfam family "Metazoan signal recognition particle RNA". From Rfam's summary of the family: The signal recognition particle (SRP) is a universally conserved ribonucleoprotein. Lineage: Eukaryota; Metazoa; Chordata; Mammalia; Primates; Hominidae. The record is from Rfam.